Molecule: ribosomal RNA, 258 nt
Filed under: Escherichia coli
Lineage: Bacteria; Pseudomonadati; Pseudomonadota; Gammaproteobacteria; Enterobacterales; Enterobacteriaceae
Description: partial 16S ribosomal RNA
Rfam family: Bacterial small subunit ribosomal RNA
Source: RNAcentral
AAAUUGAAGAGUUUGAUCAUGGCUCAGAUUGAACGCUGGCGGCAGGCCUAACACAUGCAAGUCGAACGGUAACAGGAAUCAGCUUGCUGAUUCGCUGACGAGUGGCGGACGGGUGAGUAAUGUCUGGGAAACUGCCUGAUGGAGGGGGAUAACUACUGGAAACGGUAGCUAAUACCGCAUAACGUCGCAAGACCAAAGAGGGGGACCUUCGGGCCUCUUGCCAUCGGAUGUGCCCAGAUGGGAUUAGCUAGUAGGUGG